UACGAAGGGGGCGAGCGUUGUUCGGAAUUACUGGGCGUAAAGGGCGCGCAGGCGGCUCUGAAAGUCAGAUGUGAAAGCCCCGGGCUUAACCUGGGAAUUGCAUUUGAUACUCUGGAGCUUGAGUACGGGAGAGGAGAGUGGAAUUCCCAGUGUAGAGGUGAAAUUCGUAGAUAUUGGGAAGAACACCGAUGGCGAAGGCAGCCAUCUGGACCGACACUGACGCUGAGGCGCGAAAGCGUGGGGAGCAAACAGG
RNAcentral lists this ribosomal RNA (253 nucleotides) under uncultured bacterium. RNAcentral's name for it is "partial 16S ribosomal RNA". It matches the Rfam family "Bacterial small subunit ribosomal RNA", at positions 524 to 776 of the family's 1533-position model. The record is from RNAcentral.